Molecule: ribosomal RNA, 253 nt
Filed under: uncultured bacterium
Lineage: Bacteria
Description: partial 16S ribosomal RNA
Rfam family: Bacterial small subunit ribosomal RNA
Source: RNAcentral
UACGGGGGGGGCAAGCGUUGUUCGGAAUUACUGGGCGUAAAGGGCUCGUAGGCGGCCAACUAAGUCAGACGUGAAAUCCCCAGGCUCAACCUGGGAACUGCGUCUGAUACUGGAUGGCUUGAAUCCGGGAGAGGGAUGCAGAAUUCCAGGUGUAGCGGUGAAAUGCGCAGAUAUCAGGAAGAACACCCGUGGCGAAAGCGGCUCUCUGGAACGGUACUGACGCUGAGACGCGAAAGCGUGGGGAGCGAACAGG